Molecule: unclassified non-coding RNA, 164 nt
Filed under: fungal sp.
Lineage: Eukaryota; Fungi
Description: partial internal transcribed spacer region
Rfam family: Eukaryotic small subunit ribosomal RNA (bases 1-46)
Source: RNAcentral
AAGUCGUAACAAGGUUUCCGUAGGUGAACCUGCGGAAGGAUCAUUAACAAAUCAUGUGAGUUGGGGCUUUGCCCGGCUCAUUUUUGCGCGUGUGUUGUGUGACUGGUUACUAGAAGUGGGAUUUAUAACAGAGACAACUUUUAACAAUGGAUCUCUUGGCUCUU